AGCGAACGCUGGCGGCAGGCUUAACACAUGCAAGUCGAACGCCUCUCCCGGGGAGUGGCAGACGGGUGCUUAGCACGUGGGAACGUACCCUUUGGUUCGGAAUAACUUGGGGAAACUACCUUGAAUACCGGAUAAGCCCUUAUGGUGACAUGUUUACUGCCGAAGGAUCGGCCCGCGUCUGAUUAGCUAGUUGGUGAGGUAAUGGCUCACCAAGGCGACGAUCAGUAGCUGGUCUGAGAGGAUGAUCAGCCACACUGGGACUGAGACACGGCCCAGACUCCUACGGGAGGCAGCAGUGGGGAAUAUUGGACAAUGGGGGCAACCCUGAUCCAGCCAUGCCGCGUGAGUGAUGAAGGCCUUAGGGUUGUAAAGCUCUUUUACCCGGGACGAUAAUGACUGUACCGGGAGAAUAAGCCCCGGCUAACUUCGUGCCAGCAGCCGCCGUAA
RNAcentral lists this ribosomal RNA (447 nucleotides) under uncultured bacterium. RNAcentral describes it as "partial 16S ribosomal RNA". It matches the Rfam family "Bacterial small subunit ribosomal RNA", at positions 29 to 523 of the family's 1533-position model. The record is from RNAcentral.